AAAUCUUAGGAAAUCUCCCAAUCUUCUAUAAACUUGAUAAACUCCCUGUAAGAUUCUGUAGCUUCUGUUGGUCGCGUAAAAUGAUGAUUUUCAAUUUUUUGGGUUUUAAACAUCCCUCGUACUCGACCAAUGUACUCGAUCUCUAGGCCGUCUGUAGAGUAAAAGUUUUGAAUUUUUACUCUAGCUUCACGUUAUUCCUCUAUUCCUGAGAACCAUAAACACAACUAA
RNAcentral lists this small RNA (228 nucleotides) under Arabidopsis thaliana (thale cress). RNAcentral's name for it is "ATSL090760". Lineage: Eukaryota; Viridiplantae; Streptophyta; Magnoliopsida; Brassicales; Brassicaceae. The record is from RNAcentral.